RNAcentral lists this ribosomal RNA (523 nucleotides) under uncultured bacterium. RNAcentral's name for it is "bacterial SSU rRNA". It matches the Rfam family "Bacterial small subunit ribosomal RNA", at positions 355 to 896 of the family's 1533-position model. The record is from RNAcentral.
UGGGGAAUAUUGGACAAUGGACCAAGAGUCUGAUCCAGCAAUUCUGUGUGCACGAUGACGUUUUUCGGAAUGUAAAGUGCUUUCAGUUGGGAAGAAAAAAAUGACGGUACCAACAGAAGAAGUGACGGCUAAAUACGUGCCAGCAGCCGCGGUAAUACGUAUGUCACAAGCGUUAUCCGGAUUUAUUGGGCGUAAAGCGCGUCUAGGUGGUUAUGUAAGUCUGAUGUGAAAAUGCAGGGCUCAACUCUGUAUUGCGUUGGAAACUGUGUAACUAGAGUACUGGAGAGGUAAGCGGAACUACAAGUGUAGAGGUGAAAUUCGUAGAUAUUUGUAGGAAUGCCGAUGGGGAAGCCAGCUUACUGGACAGAUACUGACGCUGAAGCGCGAAAGCGUGGGUAGCAAACAGGAUUAGAUACCCUGGUAGUCCACGCCGUAACGAUGAUUACUAGGUGUUGGGGGUCGAACCUCAGCGCCCAAGCAAACGCGAUAAGUAAUCCGCCUGGGGAGUACGUACGCAAGUAUG